GCUGUUUAAAAAUGUGUAUUUCAUAUAUGUUUGUUAGUUUACUUUAAAAAUAGUUUUAUAAGAAUCAGUCAAAUUACCCUUUUUGGACCUUACACAUUAAGCUCCGCCUUCUUUCUGAAAUAAGCCCGGGCUUCUUAAACAGCGGGAACAUCAGUAAGACAAGAUUUUUUGACAGCGAUGGAUGCAUAUCUACAUUGGUGACGGGUAACGUUACAGACAAAAGAAAUUGGAUGUUCUGCAUAUGGCUGCAAGAGAUAUUUAAAAAGUUUUCCGGAACCCCAGAUUAAAAGUUGAACUGCAAAGGGUUAGUGUAUUUUUUUAUUUUAUCAAAAUGUUAAAUGUUCUAAAUGUUUAAAUUUUUAUUGUUAAUUAAUUUUAUAAUUCUGUGGAAAUUUGAAUCUCAAGAAUCUUUUAGUGAGUUUGGAUGAAAAAUUUCACGUUUUAAUUUGUACC
This 453-nucleotide long non-coding RNA is filed under the name Mytilus galloprovincialis (Mediterranean mussel). Lineage: Eukaryota; Metazoa; Mollusca; Bivalvia; Mytilida; Mytilidae. The record is from RNAcentral.